CUGCAUGUUAAACCAAGAGCUGUGGCUUGAUAAAUAGCCACAGGAUCUCCAACUACAUGCAAAAACAAGGUGGAGGGACUUUGACAGCUCGGCCUGCUGCGCCUGUGGUUGUCACUCGACUCUCCUACACUC
RNAcentral lists this small nucleolar RNA (132 nucleotides) under Sphenodon punctatus (tuatara). RNAcentral describes it as "Small nucleolar RNA SNORA44 (ENSSPUG00000010357.1)". It matches the Rfam family "Small nucleolar RNA SNORA44". Rfam says of the family: ACA44 is a member of the H/ACA class of snoRNA that guide the sites of modification of uridines to pseudouridines. Lineage: Eukaryota; Metazoa; Chordata; Lepidosauria; Sphenodontia; Sphenodontidae. The record is from Rfam by way of RNAcentral.